RNAcentral lists this ribosomal RNA (509 nucleotides) under Amynthas sp. FJ201110-13. Its description in RNAcentral is "partial 16S ribosomal RNA". It matches the Rfam family "Bacterial large subunit ribosomal RNA", at positions 1803 to 2610 of the family's 2925-position model. Lineage: Eukaryota; Metazoa; Annelida; Clitellata; Crassiclitellata; Megascolecidae. The record is from RNAcentral.
UUUUUCAAAAACAUUGUCUUAUGUAUAAAAUAUUAGAUAAUACCUGCCCAGUGACACUACGUUCAACGGCCGCGGUAUCCUAACCGUGCAAAGGUAGCAUAAUCAUUUGCCUAUUAAUUGUAGGCUAGAAUGAAGGGGUUAACGAAAUAAAGGCUGUCUCAAUUAAUUAACUAAAAAUUAUUUUCUAUCUGAAGAAAGGUAGAUAAUCUCGAAGGACAAGAAGACCCUAUAGAGCUUAAUUUUAACUAUAGAAUUAUACUAUAUAAAUAUUCGGUUGGGGCGACCCAGGGCUAAUUAAUCACCCAUUAAAUAAAAGAUAAAUAAAUCUAAUAAAUGACCCUCUAAAGAUCAUAAAAACAAGCUACCUUAGGGAUAACAGGCUAAUCCCACUUAAGAGUUCUUAUCAAUAGUGGGGUUUGGCACCUCGAUGUUGGCUUAGGGUAUCUCUAUAGCGCAAAAGUUAUAUAAAGAUGGUUUGUUCAACCAAUAAUUCCCUACGUGAUCUGGUU